UUUGAAGUGGGUAGGCGUUAAUCAUAGCAGGUAAAUCCGUUAUGAGAGCUGAUACACGAUAGUACACGGAGGUUUAGGCCGAAGUGAUAAUGGCUGGUAGCAUACUUCCGAGAAAAGCUUCUAAGCUCUAGGUAUAUAGAGCCCGUACCGUAAACCGACACAGGUAGUCGAGGAGAGUAUCCUCAGGCGCUCGAGUGAUUCGUGGCUAAGGAACUAGGCAAAAUGGGCCCGUAACUUCGGGAGAAGGGUCACCUGACUAUAGACGUCAGGUCGCAGUGAAGAGGCCCAGGCGACUGUUUAACAAAAACACAGGACUAUGCAAAAUCGAGAGAUGAAGUAUAUGGUCUGACACCUGCCCGGUGCCGGAAGGUUAAGGGAGGGGCUUAGGGGGUAACUCCGAAGGUCUUAACUGAAGCCCCGGUAAACGGCGGCCGUAACGAUAACGGUCCUAAGGUAGCGAAAUUCCUUGUCGGGUAAGUUCCGACCUGCACGAAUGGUGUAACGAUCUGGGCACUGUCUCAGCCACGAGCUCGGUGAAAUUGAAGUAUCGGUGAAGAUACCGAUUACCCGCAAUGGGACGAAAAGACCCCGUGAACCUUUACUAUAGCUUUGCAUUGGGUUUGGAUACACGAUGUGUAGGAUAGGUGGGAGACAUUGAAGCUGGCACGCUAGUGUUGGUGGAGUCGUCGUUGAAAUACCACCCUUUGUGUAUUUAGAUUCUAACCCUGAGAGGGGGACAGUGCAUGGUGGGUAGUUUGACUGGGGUGGUCGCCUCCAAAAGAGUAACGGAGGCUUGCAAAGGUACCCUCAGCAUGGUCGGUAAUCAUGCGCAGAGCAUAUUAGUAGAAGGGUGCUUGACUGUGAGACUGACGGGUCGAGCAGGAACGAAAGUUGGCUAAAGUGAUCCGGUGUUUCCGAAUGGAAGGGACAUCGCUCAAAGGAUAAAAGGUACUCCGGGGAUAACAGGCUGAUCUCCCCCAAGAGCUCAUAUCGACGGGGAGGUUUGGCACCUCGAUGUCGGCUCGUCACAUCCUGGGGCUGGAGAAGGUCCCAAGGGUUGGGCUGUUCGCCCAUUAAAGUGGCACGCGAGCUGGGUUCAGAACGUCGCAAGACAGUUCGGUCUCUAUCUAUUGUGGGCGUAGGAAUAUUGAAGAGGUCUGACACUAGUACGAGAGGACCGUGUUGGACGAACCUCUAGUGUAUCUGUUGUGCCGCCAGGUGCAGUGCAGAGUAGCUAUGUUCGGAACGGAUAAGCGCUGAAAGCAUCUAAGCGCGAAGCCACCUCUGAGAUGAAUAUUCCAUUCUCGAAAGAGAAGAAGGGCUGUGGGAGAUGACCACGUUGAUAGGCUAUAGGUGGAAGCGCAGUAAUGUGUGUAGCCGAGUAGUACUAAUUGUCCGAAAGCUUCCUU
This 1409-nucleotide ribosomal RNA is filed under the name metagenome. RNAcentral describes it as "bacterial LSU rRNA". It matches the Rfam family "Bacterial large subunit ribosomal RNA", at positions 1510 to 2925 of the family's 2925-position model. The record is from RNAcentral.